AAGUCGAGGGGAAACGACGGGGAAGCUUGCUUCCUUGGGCGUCGACCGGCGCACGGGUGAGUAACGCGUAUCCAACCUGCCUCUGACUGAGGGAUAACCCGUCGAAAGUCGGCCUAAUACCUCAUGGCAUCGUCUGCGGGCAUCCAACGACGAUUAAAGAUUUCAUCGGUCAGGGAUGGGGAUGCGUCUGAUUAGUUAGUUGGCGGGGUAACGGCCCACCAAGGCGACGAUCAGUAGGGGUUCUGAGAGGAAGGUCCCCCACAUUGGAACUGAGACACGGUCCAAACUCCUACGGGAGGCAGCAGUGAGGAAUAUUGGUCAAUGGGCGAGAGCCUGAACCAGCCAAGUAGCGUGCAGGAAGACGGCCCUAUGGGUUGUAAACUGCUUUUAUGCGGGGAUAAAGUGAGGGACGUGUCCUUCAUUGCAGGUACCGCAUGAAUAAGGACCGGCUAAUUCCGUGCCAGCAGCCGCGGUAAUACGGAAGGUCCGGGCGUUAUCCGGAUUUAUUGGGUUUAAAGGGAGCGUAGGCCGUGGAUUAAGCGUGUUGUGAAAUGCAGGUGCUCAACGUCUGCACUGCAGCGCGAACUGGUCCACUUGAGUGUGCGCAAC
RNAcentral lists this ribosomal RNA (609 nucleotides) under uncultured Bacteroidales bacterium. RNAcentral's name for it is "bacterial SSU rRNA". It matches the Rfam family "Bacterial small subunit ribosomal RNA", at positions 59 to 656 of the family's 1533-position model. Lineage: Bacteria; Pseudomonadati; Bacteroidota; Bacteroidia; Bacteroidales. The record is from RNAcentral.